UACAUAGAAUCGGCUAUCAAGGGCGGUUGGCUCAUCUCCAGAGAGGAGGUGAUGCUAUGGAAGUAAAGGACGCUUUAAUUCUGAUGUUCAUGUUCGGCAUGUUCAUCUUAGCUUACUUUCCUACUUGAAAAACAAGUAGACCUCCCUUGAGCUCGGAAAGCUUGGAGGUCUACCAUCCACUUUCUAUAGGUCGAACGCCUUUGAGGCAAUCUAUUGUAAGACCGUAGAUCCUGCAACAUCUGCG
Molecule: small RNA, 244 nt
Filed under: Tepidibacillus decaturensis
Lineage: Bacteria; Bacillati; Bacillota; Bacilli; Caryophanales; Bacillaceae
Description: BsrG
Rfam family: BsrG
About the family: bsrE, bsrG and bsrH pair through intermolecular interactions with antisense sRNAs. SR4 interaction with the 3'UTR of bsrG RNA promotes bsrG degradation and inhibits its translation.
Source: Rfam by way of RNAcentral